RNAcentral lists this unclassified non-coding RNA (520 nucleotides) under uncultured Entrophospora. RNAcentral describes it as "SSU rRNA". It matches the Rfam family "Eukaryotic small subunit ribosomal RNA", at positions 569 to 1084 of the family's 1831-position model. The record is from RNAcentral. Lineage: Eukaryota; Fungi; Glomeromycota; Glomeromycetes; Entrophosporales; Entrophosporaceae.
AGCAGCCGCGGUAAUUCCAGCUCCAAUAGCGUAUAUUAAAGUUGUUGCAGUUAAAAAGCUCGUAGUUGAAUUUCGGGAUUGACGUGAUGGUCGUGCCUUACGGGGUAUGAACUGUUGCAGUCAAUUUCUCACCUUCUGGAGAAAUAUGAUGUCCUUAAUUGGGUGUCAUAUGGAACCAGAACUUUUACCUUGAAAAAAUUAGAGUGUUUAAAGCAGGCUUAUUGCUCGAAUACAUUAGCAUGGAAUAAUAAAAUAGGACGGCAUGGUUCUAUUUUGUUGGUUUCUAGGAUCACCGUAAUGAUUAAUAGGGAUAGUUGGGGGCAUUAGUAUUCAAUUGUCAGAGGUGAAAUUCUUGGAUUUAUUGAAGACUAACUACUGCGAAAGCAUUUGCCAAGGAUGUUUUCAUUAAUCAAGAACGAAAGUUAGGGGAUCGAAGACAAUCAGAUACCGUCGUAGUCUUAACCAUAAACUAUGCCGACUAGGAAUCAGACGAUGUUAAUUUUUUAAUGACUCGUUUGGC